CGGUCCAGACUCCUACGGGAGGCAGCAGUAGGGAAUCUUCCGCAAUGGGCGAAAGCCUGACGGAGCAACGCCGCGUGAGUGAUGAAGGUCUUCGGAUCGUAAAACUCUGUUAUUAGGGAAGAACAUAUGUGUAAGUAACUGUGCACAUCUUGACGGUACCUAAUCAGAAAGCCACGGCUAACUACGUGCCAGAGCCGCGGUAA
Molecule: ribosomal RNA, 203 nt
Filed under: Staphylococcus aureus
Lineage: Bacteria; Bacillati; Bacillota; Bacilli; Caryophanales; Staphylococcaceae
Description: partial 16S ribosomal RNA
Rfam family: Bacterial small subunit ribosomal RNA
Source: RNAcentral